RNAcentral lists this long non-coding RNA (5334 nucleotides) under Fragaria vesca (wild strawberry). Its description in RNAcentral is "long non-coding RNA (FVES_LNC002571)". Lineage: Eukaryota; Viridiplantae; Streptophyta; Magnoliopsida; Rosales; Rosaceae. The record is from RNAcentral.
CAAGUUUGGUCUCCCAUCCUGGGCACUAGAAGGCUUGGAUUUGGAAGGCUUAGAAAGACUUGUUAAAGUGAGAACAGUGCUACUAACUCAAAUGAAACAAUUUGGAUUUGAAUGACUUAAUUAUCUUAUUCAACAAUCUUGGCUUUAAAUAGCCUUACAUCUGAAACUGAACUCCUACAUAUCUGCUAUUGUAUAGCAGCACAACUAACCAACUUGAACGAAACAACCCUAUUAAACAGACUCCUAAAGUCUAGGGUUUAUUGACUAAUGACCAAGUAAACAAGGACUCAGUAAACCCUAAGCCCUGAAAAUACGAAACCAACUCCUUCAUUCCCUCCCUUAAACUAACCUGAGUUAACAGUCAGUUUACUUGAUGCUGCACAAACACCGAGUUUAGCUCGAAGCUUUUGAAAACAAUCCAGCUUUAAAGGCUUUGUAAGAAUAUCAGCAAUCUGUUCUCCUGUUCCACAAUGUUCCAAUACGAUCACUCCAUCUUUAACCAAGUCUCUCAAAAAAUGGAAACGCACAUCAAUAUGCUUGCAUCUUCCAUGCAACACAGGAUUUCUUGACAACUUGAUUGUUGAAGCAUUGUCACACAGAAGUGUUGUGCCUCCAUCCAGCUUGUAUCCUAGCUCCUCUAGGACUCUUCUCAUCCAAAUAGCCUGACAUGCACAUGAUGCAGCUACAAUGUAUUCAGCCUCUGUUGUUGAUAAAGUAACAAUGGCUUGUUUAUUUGAUGACCAAGCUACUGCUCCAUUGCUCAGCAAAAACAAAUAACCAGAAGUGCUCUUUCUUCUAUCAACAUCACCUGCAUAAUCACUAUCAGUAUAAACUCUCAAUCCUACAGCCCCAUCACUUGCAUCUUCCCCAAAAACCUUCUGUCCUUCAGUUUCACUUCGACUAUACCAUAUGCCGUAGUCCAGUGUUCCUUUCAAAUACCUCAAAACUCUCUUGGCUGCCUUGAUGUGCAUUUGUGUAGGUAUGGACAUGAAACGACUUAACAAGCUAACCACAAACUGCAAAUCUGGUCUAGUAGAAGUAAGAUACAUCAAGCUUCCGACCAAUUGCUUGUAGAGUGUCUCAUCCAUCCUUUCGCCUUCUUCAUCACUGCUCAAUUUACUGCUUGGAACAAUCGAAUUAUGAACUGGAUUACAUUCUUCCAUUCCAAUGCUUCGUAAAACCUCCACUGCAUACUUGUACUGACAAAUAUGAAUUCCAUCUUGCUUCUACAUUACUUCUAUACUAAGAAAGAAUCUCAUCUUUCCUAGAUUAGUCAUAUCAAACUCCUUUUGCAUUGAGCUCUUAAAAUCUUCCAUCAUUAAAGAAUCAUUACCAUCAUAUAUAAGAUCAUCGACAUAAACACUGAUAAUGAGAACUUUACCUCCACUGCCUCUCUUGAUAAACAAAGUCUGCUCAUUCUGUCUGAAAACCUUCAUUGACAAAGUAAGACUCAAUACGACUAAACCAAGCUCUAGGUGCUUGUUUUAGUCCAUAUAAAGCCUUAUGAAGCUUGUGCACCUUGUGUUCACUGCCUUUGAUCACAUAGCCCUUAGGUUGUUCAACAUAAACAUCUUCCUGCAAUGCUCCAUGUAAGAAGGCCGAUUUAACAUCAAGCUGAAACAUCUUCCAGUCAUUUUGAGCAGCUUUAGCUAUGACCAUUCUCAUAGUAUCCAUCCGAGCCACUGGAGCAAACACUUCUGUAAAAUCUAUCCCAUGCUCCUGGGAGUAACUUUUUGCCACCAAACGAGCUUUAAGCUUGUCUACUUCUCCACGUUCAUUGAGCUUUGUUUUAUAAAUCCAUUUGACACCAAUGCAUCUAGCUCCCUUUGGUAACUCAGUAAGCUUCCAAGUCAGGUUCCUUUCAAUUGCUCUUAUUUCAUCAUCCAUGGCUUGUUUCCAUUCCUCACUCUUCUUUGCCUCUUCAAAGGUUGAAGGAUCACAAUUGUCCAGUUCCACCAUAUUGAGCUUCAUCACGUUUGCCUCCUCUUCAAUUAGUUCUGAAAGCUCCACUCCGGUAAGGUAGUCAUUAAGAUAAGGCGGCGGCCUUCGUACUUGUCCCUCCCUUGCUCCUGCAACAUUAGUUCCAUUGCCUAUGUUUCCUCUUAACAACCUUUCUUCUCUCUCUUGUGCUCACUACUGUUUUCUCUCAAAUCCCCUUCUACUCUCACUCUUUUGUUUCCCUGUGUUUCAUCAUCAUUCCCAUUCUCACUCUCAUCAUCUCCCUCUUCACUGUUUUCAUUAUCACUCCAAACCAAUUCUUCCCCAAUAUCAUAAUUGUCUCCCCAAUCCUAACUUUUUUCUUCCUAAACACCACAUCUCUACUCACUAUCCCUUGUUUGUUCUUCGGAUCAAAUAAUUUGUAAGCUUUAGACUCCGUACUCACCCCUAUAAGAACACAAGGAAAGCUUUUGUCAUCAAGUUUACCUCUCUUAGCUUCUGGUAUGUGAACAUGACCUAUGCAGCCCCAAACUCGAAAGUAUUCCACAGAAGGCUUGACUCCAUUCCAUGCCUCCCUUGGUGUUACAUCCUUGACAGCUAAGGUAGGGCAUAUGUUCAAGACAUAAAACGUCCACUUCACAGCCUCAGGCCAGAAACUUUUAGGAACUUUCUUUGCUGACAACAUGGAUCUCACCAUAUUCAUGACUGUCCGAUUCUUGCCUUCAGUGACACCGUUUUGCUGUGGUGUGUAGGCAGUUGUAAGUUGUCUCUGGAUUCCAUGCUCUUUGCAAAAAUCUUUGAAAGCAUUAGAGUUGAAUUCUCCUCCUCUAUCUGUUCUAUAGCACUUAAUCAGCUUCCCUGUUUCUUUCUCGACAAGACUCUUGAACAACUUGAAACAACGUAGGGCUUCUAACUUCUCAACAAGUAAAUACACCCAUGCUUUACGACUGAAAUCAUCUAUAAAGCAUAAAGUAUACCUUUUACCACUGUUAGAAGCAGGCUUGAUCGGACCACAGAUGUCUGAGUGAAUAAGCUCCAAGACUUCUUUUGCUCUCCACGAACUCUGCUUAGGAAUUGCAUUCCUGUGUUGCUUGCCAACCAAGCAAUCUGUGCAGGUGAUGUUUGAUGCUUCAAACUAAGGUAAGCCACAUACCAUCUUCUUAUCUUGCAGUGUCUUCAAACCUUUAUAGCUUAGAUCGAUGACCAUAUCGUUCAUGCCAAAGCUGUGACAAGUUCAUGGAACUCGUAUGCAAGCAGCUGACAGGUUGCAUACUCAAGGAGCAUUGAACUUGUGUUAUCAAUACAAACAUCAUGUUAGCACUCAUCACACUUUGAACUAGUAAACCUCUUUCUGGAUGAAAGAUUUUACACACUCCAUCUUGAAUCAGAAUGGCCAAACCCUUUUCUUGAAGUUGCCCUAUGCUCAAAAGAUUAUUCUUGAGUUCGGGUACGUAGUACACAUCACUGAUCACAAAAGCAGCUCCCUUCAUAGUCAGUCUGACACUCCCCUUUCCGGCUACUUGCAUUCUGGUAUUGUUUCCAAGCUUAACUGAAUGAUUGAACUUAUCAUUUAAGCUAGAAAACAUACUCUUGUCACCACACAUGUGAUUAGAACAUCCUGAGUCCAAGAACCAGACAUCACCCCUUUCUGCUUCACAUUCUUCCACCAAAGACAUCAACAGUAGCUCUUCAGUUUCAUCUAGUUCAGCAUAGUUAGCUUCCUUGUUCCACUUUGAACAUUCAUAAUGAAAAUGACCGAGAUUAUGACAUUUGAAGCAUUCCACAACAGCUUUGUUGAACAUCUGUCUGCCUCGGCCUCGUCCUCUUCCUCUCAUGUUUGCUCUUCCACGGCCUCUUACUCUAAAUCUGUCUUUAUGACUCACUUUCAAAGCUUGAUCUUCUCCUCUGUCAUGCCUCUGAAACUUCUGCUCAUGAACUACAAGUGAGCUUUGUAGUUCAUCAAUUGAGAUGGACCCAGUGUUCUUGGAUUCUUCUAUGGAUAUCACAACGUAUGUGAAUCUUUCUGUGAGAGUCUUGAGAACCUUUUCCACCACCUUUGACUCCGGCAUCUCCUCUCCAUUGCUUCUCAUCUUGUUCGUUAUUGCCAUAACUCGAACAAAAUAAUCCGAGAUGCUUUCACUAUUCUUCAUCUCCAGUACUAAAAUCCCUCCUUAAUUUUUGAAGGAUUGAUUUCUUGACACGAUCAUUCCCUCCAAACUUGCUCUUCAUGGACUCCCACACAAUCUUAGCUGUGCGACGUCUGUCAAGUAUCUGCUCAAAGGUCACUCGAUCAAUUGCUUGAAAGAGAUACCUCUUAACUUUAUGAUCUUUGGCUCUUGCAUCUUCGAGCUGCUCCCUCUGUGCCUCAGUGAGCAGUGCUCUAGCAGUUGGCUCUUCAAAGCCAUUCUCCACCAAGCUCCAUAGCCCUUUUGAUCUCUACAGAUUCUCCAUCAACUCACUCCAAUGAUCAUAGUAGUGACCAUCGAAGAGUGGAACUUUCAUCUUCUCUUCACUCAUCUUUCUGUGUAUCACUCAAGAACGCUACUGCUUCUUUUUCUCAGGCCCAGUGGGGGCUCUGAUACCAGAUUGUUAAAGUGAGAACAGUGCUACGAACUCAAAUGAACAAUUUGGAUUUGAAUGACUUAAUUAUCUUAUUCAACAAUCUUGGCUUUAAAUAACCUUACAUCUGAAACUGAACUCCUACAUAUCUGCUAUUGUAUAGCAGCACAACUAACCAACUUGAACGAAACAACCCUAUUAAACAGACUCCUAAAGUCUAGGGUUUAUUGACUAAUGACCAAGUAAACAAGGACUCAGUAAACCCUGAGCCUGAAAAUACGAAACCAACUCUUUCAAGACUCAGUGACUCUUUGGACCCAGAUUUGGAGGAACCAGCAAGGGCCUUGCUAGAGCUCCGAGUGGUCUUUCGAGAAGGCUCUGUGAAUUCAAGGUCAGAGCUAGAGGAACCCGAGAGCUCGAUUGGAACGGUCUCUUCAUCAACGCAAAAAUCCAACCUUUCAAGAAAAAAAAUAGUUGAAAUCCAAAUCAAAACUAUAAACGUUCAAAUCACAUAAAUAACUCUGAAGUACAUAGAGAAUUGAAAUAAUUAUCCAAUGAAGAAGAUGCAGAAGUUUAAAUAAGAUUACCUAUCCCGCUACCCGGAAGAUACUUAUCCAAUUUGUUUAUACAAAAAAAUGACUGUUGUAUGUUGUAAACACAUGGAAACAAGAUCUGAUAGAAAUGGAUUUGAGGCAGAUUGAGGAAGAUUCAUCCCUCCUUUGACAUAAGUUUUCAUUCUAUAGCUAGAUCUCAUAUCCUGCUUGCUUCUUGGUUUAGAGUUUAAGAUUGAUAAAUAUUAAAGGGAGCUGGGAGCACUCAUAUACUGCGCACUUGUAU